UUGUUUCAUCAGAAUUUGAGCAGAAAGUUUCAGCUUUUGCAACUCACAACUUAGUCUAUGGUUGUGGGUUGAUGAUGACGAUGCUAUGAAACUGAAGUAGUGAUGAUGCCUAGAUACACAUAUAGACGUUUUAGGCUUUAAUAUGUUGUAUAAAUUUUUGUACUUGUUUGUUGUAUUGUUUUUCUUGUAUUGAACAUGUUGUAUUUUAAGUUCCAUGUAUUGUAACAUUUUUUAUGAAUGAAAUCAAUCUAUUUUUAAUUCUAU
Molecule: long non-coding RNA, 264 nt
Filed under: Helianthus annuus (common sunflower)
Lineage: Eukaryota; Viridiplantae; Streptophyta; Magnoliopsida; Asterales; Asteraceae
Description: hypothetical non coding rna
Source: RNAcentral